CUUCCGCUCGCCGCGUCUGGCGAUCGCGGCUACGGAGACCCAGGAGGGCCCGGCCAGGAGACCCGCUCUCUAGAGCGGCGAGGGCAGGGGUUGCUAGGGCGCCGGGGUCGAACCCGCGCUUCCUGCAAGUCUUAGGGCCGCAUCCCUGCCGAGGCGGGCGUUGGGAAGGGUGGGAGAUGGGAAGGUGCGGUGGUGCGGGGAGGGGAGGGCGCCGGGAGGGGUCGGAGAGGGGUCGCGGGUUUUGGGGCUGCGAGGAGGGAAGGAGGGAAGAGGAGGGAAGAGGAGGGCAAGGGGAGGGGAGGGCGGGGAGGAGAGAGGGCGCGGGCAGGGGAGUGGAGGGCGCGGGGAGGGGAGGGCGCGGGGAGGGGAGGGCGGGGAGGAGAGAGGGUGCGGAGAGGAGGGCGGGAAGGAGAGGGGACGGGGGGAGGGAGGGGACGGGGGGAGGGAGGGGAGGGUGGGGGAAGGAGGGGAGGGGAGGGUGGGGGAAGGAGGGAAGGGGAGGGGAGGGGAGGAGAGGGCGGGGAGGGGAGGGGAGGGCGCGGGCUGCGGGGCUGCGGGGAGGGAGGGGCGGGUUCAGGGCUGUGGGCCCCGCCCGGGGCACCGCCUGGAUCAGGCCUGAGGCCGGCUGCAGAGAACUUGGGCACCGCGGACCAGAUUGCUGGUCACCAGGAUGAAAAAUAAAAAAGACCCAAACAGCUCCCCCGACCCCGCCUUCGCGCAGGCCCCUGGCGUUCUGCUCAGGGGUUUUUGUUUAAUGAAGAACGUCAAACAUCUGGCAAGGUCGGAAUGAUUUUGCGAUGAGCACCGCCUGGAUUCUGCGGUGAAAGCGACUGUGUGCGCGCUCACGGCCUCGCCUGUCCCUGCAUCAGCCCAUCUCGUCAGGCAGAUCAACAUGAAGCUGUAAAACGGAUGACUUAGGCCGGGCGUCGUGAUGGGCGCCUGUAAUCCCAGCUACUCGGGAGGCUGAGGCAGGAAAACCGCUUGAACCUGGGAGGCGGAGGUUGCAGUGAACCGCGGUUGCACCACUACACUCCAGCCUGGGAGACAGAGCGAGACUCCGUCUCAAAAUAAAUAAAUAAAACAUAUGACUUAGGUAUAUACGCAUGGGGGGAAUCCUCGUAAGGCAAGAACGUGCUGCACAUUCUGGGGACUGGGACAGGAUAAGCACACGAGUAGAUCUAAGUCACUGGAAAUACCUGGUUUUGCUGUUGGAGGGGGGCUUGCAGGUGCUCGUUAUAUUAUUACGCUGUUGUAGUAAAACGAUGUUAGUUACAGUAUUAAAUUGCAAAUGUCAGUAUCCAUCACCGCCAAAACAGCGUGCAUACCACUAGCAUAUGAUUUUUGUAGUUUUUUAAUGUUAAGUUUGUAAUGAAGUGCACAAACUUAAUUA
RNAcentral lists this long non-coding RNA (1390 nucleotides) under Homo sapiens (human). Its description in RNAcentral is "HSALNT0392243". Lineage: Eukaryota; Metazoa; Chordata; Mammalia; Primates; Hominidae. The record is from RNAcentral.